CGUUAGAGCAAUGUGUCUUUGCCAGUUUUCACACCCGGGUAUUUUUCUAGCAUUUAACACUAUUGCAAGGUGUCUGUACUCAGUCGCUGCAGAAAACAUUCAC
This is a long non-coding RNA of Alosa sapidissima (American shad), 103 nucleotides long. RefSeq lists it as uncharacterized. NCBI's taxonomy places the organism in Eukaryota, Metazoa, Chordata, Actinopteri, Clupeiformes, Clupeidae. The transcript is spliced from 3 exons. The record is from RefSeq and is a predicted model, not a curated record.